CACAGUUUAAAGGAUUUGUUUAAAAGAACAAAGCAUGAGAAAUACAGUGAGAUACAAGCUCAUAACCAAACCUAAAUAAGUAAGCAGAUCUGAUUCAACACGAGAAAAGAUUACAAAACAAGACCUAGUUUUGUAGGAAGCACUAUCUGAAGACAAAGUUGCAGGACACGCUGCAAGUCCCUUUGCGGGGAGCCAUAAGCAGGGAGAAAUAACCUGGUUUCUACUUAGCCUAGCAGGGAGUUAUGGGUAGGUCAGGGUUUCCUAAAUAAGGUCCUGACAAUUCAUCACUGUUAUUAAAAGGAAGAGCAGAUUUUUCCUAUCAGGCCUGGCAGUGAUAUGUAUUCUCUCUCUGUCUUAAUUUAAUCUUAACUUUACCGUCAGCUUACUACACACAGUCCUUUGAUUCCUUUCUUCUCAAGCAAUGAAAGAAUUAAACCUGGCAAGUCAACUAUUGAUGGUCCAUGGACAAGGAGAACAAGAUUGUAAAGAAAAAAUCUGUGGAUGAUCCAAUAGCUGUGGGAUUUUUUGUUUGUUUGUUUGAGACGGAUUCUAGCUCUGUUGCCAGGCUGGAGUGCAGUGGUGCGAUCUCAGUUCACUACAACUUCCACCUCCCAGGUUCAAGCGAUUCUCCUGCCUCAGCUUCCUGAGUAGCUGGGAUUGCAGGCACGCACUGCCAUGCCCAGCUAAUUUUUGUAUUUUUAGUAGAGACGGGGUUUCACCAUGUUGGCCAGAAUGGUCUCGAUCUCUUGAACUUGUGAUCUGCCCAACUUGGCCUCCCAAAGUGCUAGGAUUACAGGCGUGAGCCACCGCACCCCGCCAGUGUUUUAACUAGUAAUUGGACUCCUAUUGAAAUAUUGCAAGACAGCCACUAAUAGCCAAGAAAAAAAGAGACAUUUUCACAUUCUUUUUCUUUUUACCAACAAAUGAGGAACUCAAGAACUCCCCAGUUGAAUGAGGGAGGCAGCUGCAUCAAGUUUAUGCCUCAUUUUACUUCAGAUUUUUAUUGUACUAGUGGCUACAUCAUGGGCUUACCCAUUGGAUAUUUGGUAGUUUUUUCUCUGUGAGCUCUUCUUCAAGACCUAAUUGUAAUGUAAACUAUCAACUCAGAACUACUAAGAAUACCUCCAAUCUCAUUUAUUUAAAUUAUUAUAUAAUUAUAAUUUAAACAAAGCCAUUUUUUAGUCCCAAGAAACCCCAUUAGCUAAAAUAGUGUCUUCUUUCCUACCUCUACUUUUCUUGUCCCCAGCAAUUGCCUUCCUUGAUUUGACCUCAUAUACAUUAAAAAUAGACUGUUCAAAAGCCCUAUGUGUACCAUCAAACCAAAGUAAGACAGGUUUGGAAGUAGGAAUACAUCUGACAUAUUCUCUUUUGGAGCCUCACCAAGCUGAGAACUGCAGAAUACUAAAGUGAUAAAGGAAAAUAUAUCAGUUCACAGUUUUACAGAAAAAAAAAUACAAAGCUAGUGUUAACUUUCCACAACCUCCCUUCUUACCCACAUCAAUAAUUUCAACUUACCAUCCACCUAUUUCAUAAGAUCUUCACACUUUCUUUAGCACCAUCUGAUAAUCUCUCCUACUUCAAUGAAAAUACAACCAACUUUCCAAAAUUUCCCCUGAACCUUAAUUCUGCAAGCCUCAGUCUCCCUAUAGGAACUUAUUAUAGGCCAAUCAGUAUUUCCUUUGCAUGUUAGGAGAAAAAUCUCUAAAACAGUUGCACUUAGGAAAUAAGUGCUAGCUGUCAUUCUAUCAGCAUGAGGAUCAGGUUGAUAGUGGCAGAAACAGUCAUUCUCCCACUACCACAUUGUUUAAAGUAAAAAGAAAGGGGCAUCAACAAUUUUCAUCUAACAUUAGUUACGCUGAAACUUCUAAAGAAAAGGUUCAAUGCACAGCGUUUAGCAGCCUAGAGAAGAAUGCUGUAACAAACUGAUUUUACGGCCAGGUGUCUGAGAAAAAAUGGCAACGAAAUUCCAAGGUGACACUCCAAGCUAGAGACAUAAUUAACUACAAUGACCUGCCAGGAAGGUAAAGUCUGUUAUAAAACUGAAAUAUUUUCUUUACUUAAAUAAUAUGAACUUCAGCUAAACAGUUGGGUAGUUGUUCACAUGAGAUUAAGGAAAAAGAAAAAUCCAGUUACUAUCGACACUAAAGAAAUGCACACCAACCAAACACCAAAAGUACUUUGGUACUAUAGCCAUAAUAGACAAAUGUGUGGCAUGGGAGCAGGGAAUUCCCUGAUGGUUAGAUGACAGGGUCAUAGAAGGUUUCUGAGACCUGCUAUGUCUCCUGUGAGGCUGACGCACCGCCAUGAUCUGUAACAAGAGUCACAUAAACACAAGCUUAGCAGCUGGCUUGUUAAAACAUCGCUGUGUUGAAAAGUGACUGAUUCAGGCUUGUUGAAGGGUCUCAUUAAUCUGAGGAAACGAUGCUUGGUGCCAUAGAUUAAACACUAUGGUCUCAAGCGGAAUGCAUGUGAAGUUUCCAAAAUGUUUCCUCAAAGACUUUAUUCAGUUUUGGUUUGUGACCUUAGCUGGAAAACAUACAGAUGAACAUGGGAAGGCAGUUGAGAAAGACAUCUAUGAGGAUUUAAGUUGGGCAGCUUUCAGAAGAUGAAAGAUGUUUAAAGUUAAGGCCUUUAUCUGCAAACAAUAGUAUAUUAAUAAACUCUAUACCAUAUUUACAAAUGCAUUCUCUUGUAUUAAAACUAACAGUAUUUUCACAGUGCCAUUGUUUAUACAGGUAGCAAUCCCAUAAUACUCAUGUAUUUUGGCAUGGGAAUCAGUAGCGUUUGGUAUUUACAGAAAAUGUACAUGGGUGAAUAUAAACAUGUCACAGAAUCCAUAAAAGACAGAUUGGCUAAUGGUGCAAAGGAAUGAACUGUACAGCACCUUCCCUUCGGAUUGGAUAGGAAACGUGGUUUCUUAAACUGCGAAGAUGCCAAGUCUCUGCCCCAAAGUGGCAUAAUAAAGUCAAUAGCAAAACAAUGAACCCCCUGUUCAAGUUUGGGUACAUUGAAUGACCUUAGUCCAAAGUUGCAGAUCCAUUGUCUAGUGCAUAAAAUAUAAAAGUUAAAAAGAUUUAUUAUUUUUAUAAUAAUAUUAUUAUUAAAAUAGAAGGUACUUUCUCUCACACUCUCAUUUGUGCUCUUGCACUUAAGACCAAUAUCCUUGGCGUUGCAAAUAUGCUGGUGUUUCUGUCACGCAGAUCAGCAGUCAGAUAGCAAACGCUCAAACGCUCCGGACUUAGGAAUUGCUGCCUGUUCCAGUGCGACCCGGAACAAGGCGGACACGGCAGGAGCACCUCAUUCUUCCUCCUAGUCUUCUCCUGGAGCAGGGAGAGCCUGCCCGUGGGAUCAGCUCCCACGUUACUGAAUGGAGUUGCUCAUUUCGGCAGCGAAUGCUGAGGUGACAAAUGGCUUCUGUACAUUUGCGAAAAGGAGGGGAGGCAGGUAAGUGGGAGGAAGAUGGCGUUCCAAAGAGCCCCAGGACAACACUCAGAAAGUGGCUGGGCUGCUGCGUGAGGGCCCCUCCACGCUGCUUCUGCCCUCUGGGGGCCCUGCCGGAGGAGAGCCGCGUCUAAGUUGGGCCGGCCCCUAGGGGCUGUCGCCUUCCUGCUCCUCGCUCUCAGUCCCUUGGCCUGCGUGGUCGUGGUCAGGCCCGCUGCCACUGCUGCCCCUGCUUCUGUGCUGCCUGGGCAACAGGCUCUUCCACUGGGCCUUGUUGUGUGCGAGGUGGCCCAGCAUGUUCUCCGACAGGGUGCUGUUACCCGUGAAAUGGGCCCAUUCCCGGAAGAGCGGCUCCACGAUGUAGCUCAUGAAACCUAGAACAGCACUUCUCCUUCCUGUCACCAUGUGAAGAAGGACGUGUUUGCUUCCCCUUCUGCUAUGAUUGUAAGCUUCCUGAGGCCUCCCCAGCCCUGCAGAACUGUCAGUAUGAAAUAUAACUUAGAAUGAGUCAGACAUGUGUCUGUCUUUUGUAAAGUGGAAACAGGGUGACUGUGAAAGUUAAGUGGAAAAGUGGAACUGGCUUCACUGCCCCGCAAGCACAUUCCAGGACAAACUUGCCAAAUACUGCAAGAAAAGAUGUUGCUGAUCACGGAUAGGAAAUACUCCAAGUCCCAGGAGAUAGUCUGUUCUUAGGAGACUUCCACACCAAGUCUGCUGACCAGAGAAGGACCAGUCAACCACCACACUCUCCGCUGGAGCCCACUCAGCACCAGGAAGAAACAGAUGGAAAAACCUAGACUUGCUCCCUUAGAUCAGUGCUAUUAUCAAUAUCAUCCUCUGAGAGACAAAGCUGUUAAAUUACUUUGCCCAGAUGACAUGGCCAGUGAGUAUGGAGACAGACCGGAAAUUAAGGCUCUGUUCUAGAUUCUCGGAAUAUAGCAGUGAACAAAACAGAUAAAACGUGCCUGCCCCUGUGGGACUGAGAUUCUAGUGGGGAAGACAGACAAUAAACAAAGUCAAUAAGUAAAUUGCCCUCUAUAGGGAAAUAAUGUGAUAUUAAGAACUGAGGCCUUUUGGGAAGUGAUUAAGUCUUGAGGGCUCUGCCCUCCGUGAAUGGAACUAUAAAAAAGGUUGAAGGGAGCUGGCUUGCCCCUUGCACCACAAGAGGACACAUAGAAGGUGCUGUCUUAUGAGGCAGAGAGCAUGCCCUCCCCAGACAGAGAACCUGUUGGCACCUUGAUCUUGGACUUCCCAGCCUCUAGAACCACAGGUUGUUAAACUGAACCAUCUUGACUGGCCCCAGCCAAGUUUCUUACAGUGGAAAUGGCACAUUAACUAUGCAGCUGUCAUGAGAGAAGUCAGUACUCUUAGAUUCUAACCCAAAAGAAUUCAAAUAUAUUGGAUUUCCUCUCCUGUUCAAUUGGAAUUCAAGGACUUAAUCCACUUUUAAUUACACUGUUCCUGUUGUUGCAUCAAAAGUGGCAUCUAGUGUGGGAAGAACUGUUUGCUUAGAAAAACAUGGAGGGCCAGUGUGGUGGCUCACAACUGUAAUCCCAGCACUUUGGGAGGCAGAGGCAGGAGGAUCCCCUGAGGCCAGGAACUCAAGACCAGCCUGGGCAACGUAGCAAGACCAUGUCUCUACAAAAAUAAAAAAAUUAGCUGGGUGUGGUGGUGUGCAUCCAUAGUCCCAGCUACUUGGGAGGCAGAGGAGGAAGGAUUGCUUGAGCCUAGGAGUUCAAGGCUGCAGUGAGCUGUGAUUGAGCCACUGCACUCCAGCCUGGGUGACAGAGCAAGACCUCAUUUCAAAAACAAACAAACAAACAAAACAGGCAAUCUAAGUACUGGAAGAAAUGUGAGUUGGCGAUGUAAGAAGGAUAGACUGUUCUGAGACUAUGGCGACAACCUGUG
RNAcentral lists this long non-coding RNA (5349 nucleotides) under Homo sapiens (human). Its description in RNAcentral is "PREDICTED lncRNA (TCONS_00233553)". Lineage: Eukaryota; Metazoa; Chordata; Mammalia; Primates; Hominidae. The record is from RNAcentral.